This is a long non-coding RNA of Rhopalosiphum padi (bird cherry-oat aphid), 668 nucleotides long. RefSeq lists it as uncharacterized. The transcript is spliced from 3 exons. Lineage: Eukaryota; Metazoa; Arthropoda; Insecta; Hemiptera; Aphididae. The record is from RefSeq and is a predicted model, not a curated record.
CUCGUCUCUGUCGUUUGACGUCUGUCGAAAAAUUUUCUACAGACAUUUCAUUGUUGCCGUCACCGUUUAUUUUAUUGAACAAAUUUAUCUAAAAAUUACCAUGAAUUCUAAAGUAUCUCCUGAUCAAAUAAAUUUAAAAGUACUCGGUAAAGAUAAUUUAAUGCUUCCAUUUAAAACGAAGACAGUUACUCAACUAAAAAAAUUAAUGUUUGUCUACUGUAAAAAAACUGUCUUACUUUUAGCACAGUAAGAUUUCGAUAUGAUGGACAACAAGUUAAUGAGACUGAUACUCCAGCCUAUAUAGAUAUGGAAGACGGUGAUACAAUCGAAGUAUUCUAAAAUCAACAUGGUGAUUGCCAUUUUUAAUUAUAUUAUACAGUAAUAUUGGUGUGAAAUCAAUUUUAAACUUGGAAAAAAGUUUAGUUGAAUUUAAAAUACACAAAUGUUUUUAUUAGUUAUGUGUGUAAUAUUUAAUGUAAAUAUGGAAUAAUUUAAUAUUAUUAUUAUUUAUUAUUAUUAUUUUUUUAUAUUAUUAUAUUUUUUAUAUGUUAAAUAGUGUUUCUAAGAAUAUUGGAGUUAAUAUAUUAAUAUGUACAUAGAUCUGUUUUGUGAAAAACAGUAGAACUCCGAUUAUCCGAACGCCUAUCAACCAGACAAGAAAAAAGAUU